UCACCCCGCCGUCGAUUCUCUCCUCUUCGACAACACCCCCGCUGUCAUCCAUCUAAAAUUUAGAUAUCCCCAACAUUAGCUCCAGUUGAUGCGUUGGAGAGGUAUACUCAGAUAUCUAGUCAUUCUCUUCAUAGAACAAGCAAACCAGGAAUUUUAUCGAUUGAUAUUCAGUCUAACAAGAAUCUCAUUGCAACUGGAGGGGUUGAUACAAAUGCUACAGUUCGCAUAUGGCAAGGCUCUGAUGAUGGGAACUAUAACUGUAGGCACAUUGUGAAGGACCAUACUGCUGAGAUUGUCCACAGGAGAGGUCAAUUCCUUGAAGGAGGAAGUGACAACCCUAAGAGGUCAGGUUGCGGCCCAGGGCGACCAUAUUAGGGCCCAGGACGAGAGGAUGAAUAUGAUUGUUCAGGCCUUAGCGAUGUCCGGCCUCCAAAUCCCGACGAUGCCAGCACCUAAUGUUGCUCCACCUUCGACUUCCCAGCCAUUUUGCCCCGACGAUACCGAGUAGCAUGAUGUAUUAAACUUAGAAGACUUGUAGUUUUUUAUUUUUUUGUUCGGACAAACAUACAUUUUCAUAUAUUCUAUAAUUAUUUACUUUUUCUUGGUUUA
Malus domestica (apple) is the source of this 609-nucleotide non-coding RNA. The record is from RefSeq and is a predicted model, not a curated record. Lineage: Eukaryota; Viridiplantae; Streptophyta; Magnoliopsida; Rosales; Rosaceae.